GGGUGCAUGGCAUCUAAGUUUACAUAGACCAUGGUAAAGGCGUUGCCUAACAUAUGUGCUUAGGAUAAAUUUAGGAGAAAAUGAGUGGCAUAAUGUAAGCCACACACCUUAAUGUAGGCGAUAAUAUGUGCGAUGCCAACCCAGUCGCACAGGCUCACUGGUUUAAGUUGGCGAUUACAUAUGCGCCGUACACCUUAAGUUGUGUGACAACAUAUGCGCCGCC
RNAcentral lists this long non-coding RNA (223 nucleotides) under Capsicum annuum. RNAcentral's name for it is "long non-coding RNA (CANN_LNC001329)". Lineage: Eukaryota; Viridiplantae; Streptophyta; Magnoliopsida; Solanales; Solanaceae. The record is from RNAcentral.